CCUUCGGGCGCUGACGAGUGGCGGACGGGUGAGUAACGCGUAGGAAUCUGCCUCAUAGUGGGGGACAACGUGGGGAAACCCACGCUAAUACCGCAUACGCCCUACGGGGGAAAGCGGGGGCUCUUCGGACCUCGCGCUAUGAGAUGAGCCUGCGUUAGAUUAGCUAGUUGGUAGGGUAAAGGCCUACCAAGGCGACGAUCUAUAGCUGGUCUGAGAGGACGAUCAGCCACACUGGGACUGAGACACGGCCCAGACUCCUACGGGAGGCAGCAGUGGGGAAUAUUGGACAAUGGGCGCAAGCCUGAUCCAGCAAUACCGCGUGUGUGAAGAAGGCCCUAGGGUUGUAAAGCACUUUCAAUGGGGAGGAAAACCUGCCGGUCAAUACCCGGUAGCUUGACAUUACCUUUAGAAGAAGCACCGGCUAACUCCGUGCCAGCAGCCGCGGUAAUACGGAGGGUGCGAGCGUUAAUCGGAAUUACUGGGCGUAAAGCGUGCGUAGGCGGUUCGUUAAGUCAGAUGUGAAAGCCCUGGGCUCAACCUGGGAACUGCAUUUGAAACUGGCGAACUAGAGUUGAGUAGAGGGGAGUGGAAUUUCAGGUGUAGCGGUGAAAUGCGUAGAUAUCUGAAGGAACACCAGUGGCGAAGGCGACUCCCUGGACUCAAACUGACGCUGAGGUACGAAAGCGUGGGUAGCAAACAGGAUUAGAUACCCUGGUAGUCCACGCCGUAAACGAUGUCAACUAGCCGUUGGUCCUAUUUACAGGAUUAGUGGCGCAGCUAACGCAUUAAGUUGACCGCCUGGGGAGUACGGCCGCAAGGUUAAAACUCAAAUGAAUUGACGGGGGCCCGCACAAGCGGUGGAGCAUGUGGUUUAAUUCGAUGUAACGCGAAGAACCUUACCUACCCUUGACAUCCAUAGAAUCAA
This 925-nucleotide ribosomal RNA is filed under the name uncultured Methylobacter sp. RNAcentral describes it as "bacterial SSU rRNA". It matches the Rfam family "Bacterial small subunit ribosomal RNA", at positions 77 to 999 of the family's 1533-position model. Lineage: Bacteria; Pseudomonadati; Pseudomonadota; Gammaproteobacteria; Methylococcales; Methylococcaceae. The record is from RNAcentral.